AACGUAGGUGGCAAGCGUUGUCCGGAUUUACUGGGCGUAAAGAGCGCGCAGGCGGUCGUUCAAGUCGCGUGUGAAAGCCCCCGGCUCAACUGGGGAGGGUCACGCGAUACUGAUCGACUCGAAGGCAGGAGAGGGAAGUGGAAUUCCCGGUGUAGUGGUGAAAUGCGUAGAUAUCGGGAGGAACACCAGUGGCGAAGGCGACUUCCUGGCCUGUUCUUGACGCUGAGGCGCGAAAGCUAGGGGAGCAAACGGG
This 253-nucleotide ribosomal RNA is filed under the name uncultured bacterium. Its description in RNAcentral is "partial 16S ribosomal RNA". It matches the Rfam family "Bacterial small subunit ribosomal RNA", at positions 524 to 776 of the family's 1533-position model. The record is from RNAcentral.